AACGAACGCUGGCGGCGGGCCUCAUACAUGCAAGUCGAGCGCGAAAGUCCGCAAGGAUGAGUAAAGCGGCGCACGGGUGAGUAACACGUGGGUAAUCUACCUUUUUGGAUUGGAAUAACCUGUCGAAAGACGGGCUAAUGCCAAGUAAGUUCUUUGGAACGUGGAGUUUUUGAAGAAGAAAGAUGGCGCAAGCUAUCGCCGAAAGAUGAGCCUGCGUCCCAUUAGUUAGUUGGUGGGGUAAUGGCUUACCAAGACAAUGAUGGGUACCUGGUCUGAGAGGAUGACCAGGCACACUGGAACUGAAACACGGUCCAGACUCCUACGGAGGCAGCAGUAGGGAAUAUUGCGCAAUGGACGAAAGUCUGACGCAGCCACGCCGCGUGAGUGAGGAAGGCCUUCGGGUUGUAAAGCUACU
Molecule: ribosomal RNA, 415 nt
Filed under: uncultured bacterium
Lineage: Bacteria
Description: bacterial SSU rRNA
Rfam family: Bacterial small subunit ribosomal RNA
Source: RNAcentral